Molecule: ribosomal RNA, 856 nt
Filed under: Pseudomonas sp. PH-d
Lineage: Bacteria; Pseudomonadati; Pseudomonadota; Gammaproteobacteria; Pseudomonadales; Pseudomonadaceae
Description: bacterial SSU rRNA
Rfam family: Bacterial small subunit ribosomal RNA
Source: RNAcentral
GCGGCGGANGGGUGAGUAAUGCCUAGGAAUCUGCCUGGUAGUGGGGGAUAACGUUCCGAAAGGAACGCUAAUACCGCAUACGUCCUACGGGAGAAAGCGGGGGAUCUUCGGACCUCGCGCUAUCAGAUGAGCCUAGGUCGGAUUAGCUAGUUGGUGAGGUAAUGGCUCACCAAGGCGACGAUCCGUAACUGGUCUGAGAGGAUGAUCAGUCACACUGGAACUGAGACACGGUCCAGACUCCUACGGGAGGCAGCAGUGGGGAAUAUUGGACAAUGGGCGAAAGCCUGAUCCAGCCAUGCCGCGUGUGUGAAGAAGGUCUUCGGAUUGUAAAGCACUUUAAGUUGGGAGGAAGGGUAUUCACCUAAUACGUGAGUAUUUUGACGUUACCGACAGAAUAAGCACCGGCUAACUUCGUGCCAGCAGCCGCGGUAAUACGAAGGGUGCAAGCGUUAAUCGGAAUUACUGGGCGUAAAGCGCGCGUAGGUGGUUCGUUAAGUUGGAUGUGAAAGCCCCGGGCUCAACCUGGGAACUGCAUCCAAAACUGGCGAGCUAGAGUACGGUAGAGGGUAGUGGAAUUUCCUGUGUAGCGGUGAAAUGCGUAGAUAUAGGAAGGAACACCAGUGGCGAAGGCGACUACCUGGACUGAUACUGACACUGAGGUGCGAAAGCGUGGGGAGCAAACAGGAUUAGAUACCCUGGUAGUCCACGCCGUAAACGAUGUCAACUAGCCGUUGGAAUCCUUGAGAUUUUAGUGGCGCAGCUAACGCAUUAAGUUGACCGCCUGGGGAGUACGGCCGCAAGGUUAAAACUCAAAUGAAUUGACNGGGGGCCCGCACAAGCGGNNGAGCAUGNNGUU